GAUAAAGAAAGGAAUUAAACCAAUGUAAACAGGACUACAGCCUGCCGCCUAACACUCGGCCACCUUACC
RNAcentral lists this transfer RNA (69 nucleotides) under Anolis carpenteri. RNAcentral describes it as "tRNA-Tyr". The record is from RNAcentral. Lineage: Eukaryota; Metazoa; Chordata; Lepidosauria; Squamata; Anolidae.